CCCAGACUCCUACGGGAGGCAGCAGUGGGGGAUAUUGCACAAUGGGGGGAACCCUGAUGCAGCGACGCCGCGUGGGUGAAGGAGCGUUUCGGCGCGUAAAGCCCUAUCGGCAGGGAAGAAGGAGGACGGUACCUGACUAAGAAGCCCCGGCUAACUACGUGCCAGCAGCCGCGGUAAUACGUAGGGGGCAAGCGUUAUCCGGAUUUACUGGGUGUAAAGGGGGCGCAGACGGCAGCGCAAGCCAGGAGUGAAAGCCCGGGGCCCAACCCCGGGACUGCUCUUGGAACUGCGCGGCUGGAGUGCAGGAGGGGCAGGCGGAAUUCCUGGUGUAGCGGUGAAAUGCGUGGAUAUCAGGAGGAACACCGGUGGCGAAGGCGGCCUGCUGGACUGCGACUGACGUUGAGGCCCGAAAGCGUGGGGAGCAAACAGGAUUAGAUACCCCAGUAU
RNAcentral lists this ribosomal RNA (447 nucleotides) under uncultured bacterium. Its description in RNAcentral is "bacterial SSU rRNA". It matches the Rfam family "Bacterial small subunit ribosomal RNA", at positions 330 to 793 of the family's 1533-position model. The record is from RNAcentral.